Molecule: ribosomal RNA, 165 nt
Filed under: uncultured bacterium
Lineage: Bacteria
Description: partial 16S rRNA
Rfam family: Bacterial small subunit ribosomal RNA
Source: RNAcentral
UAGGGAAUCUUCCACAAUGGACGACAAGUCUGAUGGAGCAACGCCGCGUGAGUGAAGAAGGGUUUCGGCUCGUAAAGCUCUGUUGUUAAAGAAGAACGUGGGUAAGAGUAACUGUUUACCCAGUGACGGUAUUUAACCAGAAAGCCACGGCUAACUACGUGCCAG